RNAcentral lists this transfer RNA (77 nucleotides) under Chitinophaga alhagiae. Its description in RNAcentral is "Chitinophaga sp. T22 tRNA-Thr". It matches the Rfam family "tRNA". From Rfam's summary of the family: Transfer RNA (tRNA) molecules are approximately 80 nucleotides in length. The record is from RNAcentral. Lineage: Bacteria; Pseudomonadati; Bacteroidota; Chitinophagia; Chitinophagales; Chitinophagaceae.
GCCACCCUAGCUCAGCUGGUCAGAGCGGUUGUUUCGUAAAUAACAGGUCGUCGGUUCGAUCCCGAUGGGUGGCUCAA